CAAUAGCGUAUAUUAACGUUGUUGCAGUUAAAAAGCUCGUAGUUGGAUUUCUGGAGGGAGCGUCGGCCCGUAUUUACGAGUGCGUGACGUCUCUGUCCAUCCUUGCGGGAAGGCACGGCAUUGAUUUGUUGUGUCGGAUCGCAUCAUUUACUGUGAAAAAAUUAGAGUGUUCAAAGCAGGCUUUCGCUUGAAUACAUUAGCAUGGAAUAAUAAGAUAGGACUUUGGUGCUAUUUUGUUGGUUGAGCCUAAAGUAAUGAUUAAUAGGGAUAGUUGGGGGCACCUGUAUUGCGUUGUCAGAGGUGAAAUUCUUGGAUUUACGCACGACAAACAGCUGCGAAAGCGUCUGCCAAGGAUGUUUUCAUUAA
RNAcentral lists this ribosomal RNA (366 nucleotides) under uncultured eukaryote. RNAcentral's name for it is "partial 18S ribosomal RNA". It matches the Rfam family "Eukaryotic small subunit ribosomal RNA", at positions 592 to 976 of the family's 1831-position model. The record is from RNAcentral.